ACGGAGGAAAAGAAACUAACAAGGAUUCCCCUAGUAACGGCGAGUGAAGAGGGAAGAGCCCAAGAUUGAAAGCUGGCGUCUUCGGCGUCCGCAUUGUAAUCUCAAGAAGUGUUUUCCGCUUCGGACCAUGCCUAAGUCCCUUGGAAAAGGGCAUCAUAGAGGGUGAUAAUCCCGUACAUGGCAUGGAGCGCCCGAAGCUUUGUGAUACGCUUUCUAAGAGUCGAGUUGUUUGGGAAUGCAGCUCAAAAUGGGUGGUAAAUGCCAUCUAAGGCUAAAUAUUGGGGAGAGACCGAUAGCGAACAAGUACAGUGAUGGAAAGAUGAAAAGAACUUUGAAAAGAGAGUUAAACAGUACGUGAAAUUGCCAAAAGGGAAGGGUAGGAGGUCAGAGAUGCGUUCUGGGAUUCAGCCUUGCUUUUGCUUGGUGUUUUUCCCAAAUUGCAGGCCAACGUCGGUUUUGGGCGCUGGAGAAGGGUGGAAGGAACGUGGCACCCCUCGGGGUGUGUUAUAGCCUUCUACUGGAUACAGUGACCGAGACCGAGGACAGCAGCGUACUCGCAAGAGCGGGCCUUCGGGCACCUUUACGCUUAGGGCGUUGGCAUAAUGGCCC
RNAcentral lists this ribosomal RNA (609 nucleotides) under Ustilago striiformis. Its description in RNAcentral is "LSU rRNA". It matches the Rfam family "Eukaryotic large subunit ribosomal RNA", at positions 50 to 640 of the family's 3401-position model. The record is from RNAcentral. Lineage: Eukaryota; Fungi; Basidiomycota; Ustilaginomycetes; Ustilaginales; Ustilaginaceae.